Molecule: non-coding RNA, 1110 nt
Filed under: Talaromyces marneffei ATCC 18224
Lineage: Eukaryota; Fungi; Ascomycota; Eurotiomycetes; Eurotiales; Trichocomaceae
Description: Penicillium marneffei ATCC 18224 Bacterial small subunit ribosomal RNA
Rfam family: Bacterial small subunit ribosomal RNA
Source: Rfam by way of RNAcentral
AUUGGUCAAUGGUCUAACGACUGAACCAGUAACUUGGAAGAAUGUAUGUAUUAUAAUUAAUACAAUAACGAUUAAUUCGUAUAAAAUUCUAAAUAGGAUAAUGAUAAUGACAAUUUCCUAUUUAUAAGUCUUGACCAAAUUACGUGCCAGCAGUCGCGGUAAUACGUAGAAGACUAGUGUUAGUCAUCUUUAUUAGGUUUAAAGGGUACCUAGACGGUAAAUAACACUUAAAUAGAGUAUUUAUUUACUAGAGUUUUAUAAGAGAAGGAAGAACUUCUGGAGUAGUGAUAAAAUAUGUUGAUACCAGAGGGACUGGUAACGGCGAAGGCAUCCUUCUAUGUAAAAACUGACGUUGAGGGACGAAGGCUUGGGUAGCAAUAAGGAUUAGAUACCCUAGUAGUCCAAGCAGAAAAUGAUGAAUGUCAUAGACUAGAUAAAAAUUUAGUCUAUAAAUGAAAGUGUAAGCAUUCCACCUCAAGAGUACUAUGGCAACAUAUAAACUGAAAUCAUUAGACCGUUUCUGAAACCAGUAGUGAAGUAUGUUAUUUAAUUCGAUAAUCCGCGAAUAACCUUACCACAAUUUGAAUAUAUUAAGUUAUUACAAGCGCUGCACGGCUGUCUUUAGUUAAUGUCGUGAGAUCUGGUUAACUCCUAAAAUUAACGAAAACCCUCAUUUUAUUUGUAUAUAUAAAGUGGUUCUCCAGUAUAGUGGAAAGAUAAAAGGGAUUAAGACAAGUCAUCAUGGCCUAAAUAUUGUGGGCUAUAGACGUGCCACAUAUGCCUCUACAAAGGGAUGCUAUAUUGCGAAAUGGAGCUAAUCCCCAAAAUUGGAUAUAAUAUGGAUUGUUGUCUGUAAUUCGACAGCAUGAAUAAGGAAUUACUAGUAAUCGUGAAUCACCAUCGUCACGGUGAAUCUAAUCUCAGCUAGGUACUAACCACUCGUCAGGCGCUGAAAGGAGUAUGUGCAAUAAGUUUGGUUUGUUUAUAUAUUAAUAUACAUGAUUCUUGAUGUAUAAAUAUGUAGAUUUAAUUUUCGUAUGCAUGACUUUAAUUGGUGUUAAGUCGAAAUAUGGUUCGUGUAAUGGAAAUUGCACGGGAUUAAUAAAUUUG